UGUAGAGCAGUUUGCCAUGCUUAACACGUGAGUCAAGAUUUUGUAGAAGAUUCUGUCAAAGAAUCAACAACAUAAAGAAAUAUACCUCUCGGUUUGGAUAUCUCUCAACAAAACCUUCUACUGCUUCUCAGCCAGCCAUGCUGUUUGCUUCCUGCUCAGGACUUGUGAUUUUGUUGAUAAUCAGAAGGACCAAUGGAGACUCGGUGACCCAGACAGAAGGUCCAGUUACCCUCCCUGAGAGAGCAGCUCUGACAUUAAACUGCACUUAUCAGACCAGCUAUUCAGCUUUUAUAUUCUGGUAUGUGCAGUAUCCAAACAAAGAGCCUGAGUUCCUCCUGAAAAGUUCAGAAAACCAGGAGACGAACAGCAGAGGUUUUCAGGCCAGUCAUGUCAAGAGUGACAGUUCCUUCCAUCUGGAGAAACCCUCGGUACAGCUGUCGGACUCUGCCGUGUACUACUGCGUUCUGAGAGACACAGUGGGAGGGACUGCAGCGACAGCCCAGCACAAACCCCGGGGGCCGCAGGAUCCAGCAUGGCUCAGAAGGUAACUCAAGCUCAGACUGAAAUUUCUGUGGUGGAGAAGGAGGAUGUGACCUUGGACUGUGUGUAUGAAACCCGUGAGACUACUUAUUACUUAUUCUGGUACAAGCAACCACCAAGUGGAGAAU
Molecule: non-coding RNA, 668 nt
Organism: Chlorocebus sabaeus (green monkey)
Lineage: Eukaryota; Metazoa; Chordata; Mammalia; Primates; Cercopithecidae
Source: the annotation of a RefSeq genome assembly